Molecule: ribosomal RNA, 374 nt
Filed under: uncultured eukaryote
Lineage: Eukaryota
Description: partial 18S ribosomal RNA
Rfam family: Eukaryotic small subunit ribosomal RNA
Source: RNAcentral
CAAUAGCGUAUAUUUAAGUUGUUGCAGUUAAAAAGCUCGUAGUUGGAUUUCUGCUGAUCGCUGUCGGUCUGCCGUCAGGUGUGUACUGGCAGUGUUUGGCAUCUAUUCGAGAUUGGGUGUCCACUUGAUUGUGUGCACUCGAUGUCGGAGCUAAUACUUUGAGAAAAUUAGAGUGUUCCACGCAGGCGCGUGCCUUGAAUACUGCAGCAUGGGAUAUUGGAAGGCCGAUUGAGCUUUCUUGUUGGUUCUCGGUUUGAUCGGAAUGAUUAAUAGGGAUAGUUGGGGGCACCUGUAUUGCGUUGUCAGAGGUGAAAUUCUUGGAUUUACGCAAGACAAACAGCUGCGAAAGCGUCUGCCAAGGAUGUUUCCAUUAA